UAAAAGGCCCAGGUCACUAGAGUGGCUGAGAGUCUACACAGUAAAAGGCCCAGACCACUAGAGUGGCUGAGAGUCUACACAGUGAAAGGCCCAGGUCACUAGAGUGGCUGAGAGUCUACACAGUAAAAGGCCCAGGCCACUAGAGUGGCUGAGAGUCUACACAGUAAAAGGCCCAGGUCACUAGAGUGGCUGAGAGUCUACACAGUAAAAGGCCCAGACCACUAGAGUGGCUGAGAGUCUACACAGUAAAAGGCCCAGGCCACUAGAGUGGCUGAGAGUCUACACAGUAAAAGGCCCAGACCACUAGAGUGGCUGAGAGUCUACACAGUAAAAGGCCCAGACCACUAGAGUGGCUGAGAGUCUACACAGUAAAAGGCCCAGACCACUAGAGUGGCUGAGAGUCUACACAGUAAAAGGCCCAGACCACUAGAGUGGCUGAGAGUCUACACAGUAAAAGGCCCAGGCCACUAGAGUGGCUGAGAGUCUACACAGUAAAAGGCCCAGACCACUAGAGUGGCUGAGAGUCUACACAGUAAAAGGCCCAGACCACUAGAGUGGCUGAGAGUCUACACAGUAAAAGGCCCAGGCCACUAGAGUGGCUGAGAGUCUACACAGUAAAAGGCCCAGGUCACUAGAGUGGCUGAGAGUCUACACAGUAAAAGGCCCAGGCCACUAGAGUGGCUGAGAGUCUACACAGUAAAAGGCCCAGGUCACUAGAGUGGCUGAGAGUCUACACAGUAAAAGGCCCAGGCCACUAGA
Molecule: long non-coding RNA, 759 nt
Organism: Oncorhynchus keta (chum salmon)
Lineage: Eukaryota; Metazoa; Chordata; Actinopteri; Salmoniformes; Salmonidae
Exons: 3
Source: RefSeq, a predicted model, not a curated record